AUUGAACGCUGGCGGCAGGCCUAACACAUGCAAGUCGAGCGAGAAAGGUCUUCGGACUGAGUACAGCGGCGGACGGGUGAGUAAAGCGUAGGAAUCUACCUGGUAGUGGGGGAUAACUUGGGGAAACUCAAACUAAUACCGCAUACGCCCUACGGGGAAAGCGGGGGACCGUUCGGGCCUCGCGCUAUCAGAUGAGCCUGCGUAGGAUUAGCUAGUUGGUGAGGUAAAGGCUCACCAAGGCGACGAUCCUUAGCUGGUCUGAGAGGAUGAUCAGCCACACUGGGACUGAGACACGGCCCAGACUCCUACGGGAGGCAGCAGUGGGGAAUAUUGCGCAAUGGGCGAAAGCCUGACGCAGCCAUGCCGCGUGUGUGAAGAAGGCCUUAGGGUUGUAAAGCACUUUCAAUUGGGAAGAAAGUUGGUCGUUAAUAGCGGCCAGCCCUGACAUUACCUUUAGAAGAAGGACCGGCUAACUCCGUGCCAGCAGCCGCGGUAAUGUCGUACG
RNAcentral lists this ribosomal RNA (505 nucleotides) under uncultured bacterium. Its description in RNAcentral is "bacterial SSU rRNA". It matches the Rfam family "Bacterial small subunit ribosomal RNA", at positions 30 to 531 of the family's 1533-position model. The record is from RNAcentral.